RNAcentral lists this ribosomal RNA (631 nucleotides) under uncultured Methanosaeta sp. RNAcentral's name for it is "bacterial SSU rRNA". It matches the Rfam family "Archaeal small subunit ribosomal RNA", at positions 95 to 727 of the family's 1478-position model. The record is from RNAcentral. Lineage: Archaea; Methanobacteriati; Methanobacteriota; Methanomicrobia; Methanotrichales; Methanotrichaceae.
AACACGUGGACAACCUACCCUCCGGACGGGUAUAAACCCGGGAAACUGGGUAUAAUCCCCGAUAGAUCUCGGUCGCUGGAAUGCCCCGAGAUCGAAAGCUCCGGCGCCAGAGGAUGGGUCUGCGGCCUAUCAGGUAGUAGUGGGUGUAGCGUACCUACUAGCCUACGACGGGUACGGGUUGUGAGAGCAAGAGCCCGGAGAUGGAUUCUGAGACACGAAUCCAGGCCCUACGGGGUGCAGCAGGCGCGAAAACUUUACAAUGCCGGCAACGGCGAUAAGGGGACCUCGAGUGCCAGGUUACAAAUCUGGCUGUCGUGAUGCCUAAAAAGCAUUGCAUAGCAAGGGCCGGGCAAGACCGGUGCCAGCCGCCGCGGUAACACCGGCGGCUCGAGUGGUAACCGUUAUUAUUGGGUCUAAAGGGUCUGUAGCCGGCCGGAUAAGUCUCUUGAGAAAUCCAGCAGCUCAACUGUUGGGCUUUCAGGAGAUACUGUUCGGCUCGAGGCCGGGAGAGGUGAGAGGUACUUCAGGGGUAGGGGUGAAAUCUUGUAAUCCUUGAAGGACCACCAGUGGCGAAGGCGUCUCACCAGAACGGACCUGACGGCAAGGGACGAAAGCUAGGGGCACGAACCGG